GAUGAACGCUGGCGGCGUGCUUAACACAUGCAAGUCGAACGGAAAGGCCCAAGCUUGCUUGGGUACUCGAGUGGCGAACGGGUGAGUAACACGUGGGUGAUCUGCCCUGCACUUCGGGAUAAGCCUGGGAAACUGGGUCUAAUACCGGAUAGGACGAUGGUUUGGAUGCCAUUGUGGAAAGUUUUUUCGGUGUGGGAUGAGCUCGCGGCCUAUCAGCUUGUUGGUGGGGUAACGGCCUACCAAGGCGUCGACGGGUAGCCGGCCUGAGAGGGUGUACGGCCACAUUGGGACUGAGAUACGGCCCAGACUCCUACGGGAGGCAGCAGUGGGGAAUAUUGCACAAUGGGCGCAAGCCUGAUGCAGCGACGCCGCGUGGGGGAUGACGGCCUUCGGGUUGUAAACUCCUUUCGCUAGGGACGAAGCGUUUUUGUGACGGUACCUGGAGAAGAAGCACCGGCUAACUACGUG
Molecule: ribosomal RNA, 468 nt
Filed under: uncultured bacterium
Lineage: Bacteria
Description: partial 16S ribosomal RNA
Rfam family: Bacterial small subunit ribosomal RNA
Source: RNAcentral